This 623-nucleotide long non-coding RNA is filed under the name Ananas comosus (pineapple). Its description in RNAcentral is "long non-coding RNA (ACOM_LNC015858)". The record is from RNAcentral. Lineage: Eukaryota; Viridiplantae; Streptophyta; Magnoliopsida; Poales; Bromeliaceae.
UGAUUCGAAGAACAAACUAUUUUUAUUUAUUUUUAAAAUAGAUAUAAUUUUUGGGGCAAAUAAAGAAUUAGUUUAAUUUUGUAUUUCGAUAAGAAUCGAGAUAUUUAGAAAAAUAAGAAAAAUUAUAUUUAGAAGAUUGGCCGGAUUGGAAUGGUACGAAUAAGAGUAAUUAUAAUUGAAAAUAAAAAUAAUUUAUCUAAUGAAUAAGCAUCUAAGUAUUAGUAAAAUAAUAUUUUAAUAAGUUAAUAAAUAAAUUAAUUAAAAUUACUAUAUGAGAUGAUGAAGAUGAUGUUAAUAAAUAGUAAAUAACUAUAAAAAAUAAGUCAAUAUGUUAAUACUAAUUAAUUAUUUAAUCAUUUAUAUUUUUAUUUAAUAUAUUAAUUAGAUAAAAUUAAAAUAUUAAUUAUAUAAAUAAUAUAAACAUUAGUUAAUGAUUGAAUAAGCAUAUUAAAUAGCGAACUAUUUAAUUAGAUAAUUAAUUAUAAAUUUAUAAAUAAAUUAUUAUUUAAAUAUUUAUUAAUUUAAUAAGUUAAAUAAUUAAUUAGUUAAUUAUUAAAAAAUAUAAUUGCAUUAAUUAAUUAUAAUUUAUAAUUAUUUAUAACUUACUUAGCAGAGGAAUAAGG